Molecule: unclassified non-coding RNA, 216 nt
Filed under: fungal sp.
Lineage: Eukaryota; Fungi
Description: partial internal transcribed spacer region
Rfam family: Eukaryotic small subunit ribosomal RNA (bases 1-46)
Source: RNAcentral
AAGUCGUAACAAGGUUUCCGUAGGUGAACCUGCGGAAGGAUCAUUACCAAUUUAAUCCAAAACACUUUAACCCGUGUGCACUGUGAUAUUGUUUGUCUUUGGGGUUUUGGAUUCUUGUUUGCCGCCCCACAUUUGUUCAACACAUUUUUAUUUUCGUGGCAUCUUUUUGUCUUAAUACAAAUGGACAACUUUUAACGGUGGAUCUCUUGGCUCGUG